RNAcentral lists this non-coding RNA (60 nucleotides) under unclassified sequences. RNAcentral describes it as "S15-Flavobacteria ribosomal protein leader". It matches the Rfam family "S15-Flavobacteria ribosomal protein leader". The record is from RNAcentral.
UAUAUUUGCAAUUGAUAAAUUUAUUAAAUACAUAAUAAUUAUUUAAAUAAUAUUGGCAUG